CGCCUGUUUAUCAAAAACAUGUCUGUAUGAAUAAAAUGUAAAGUCUAGCCUGCCCACUGAUAAUUAGUUUUAAAGGGCCGCGGUAAUUUGACCGUGCAAAGGUAGCAUAAUCAGUAGUCUUUUAAUUGGGGGCUGGAAUGAAUGGUUGGACAAGAAGCUGUCUGUCUUUAUUGUAAAAAUUGAAUUUAACUUUUAAGUGAAAAGGCUUAAAUAUGUUGGGGGGACGAUAAGACCCUAUAAAACUUGACAUAGAAAGUUGGUUUUUAAAUUGUUGUAUUAAAGUAAACCAGGCUUAUUUUGUUACGUUGGGGCGACGAGAAUAUAAGAUGUAACUGUUAGUGAAUUGAAAUAAUUAUUUUUAGUUGUUUGAUUGAUCCUUUUAUAGAGAUUAUAAGAAAAAGUUACUUUAGGGAUAACAGCGUGAUUUUUUCUGAGAGUUCUUAUCGACGAAAGUAGUUGCGACCUCGAUGUUGAAUUAAGAUAUUAUUAGGGUGUAGAAGUUCUAAUUAUAGGUCUGUUCGACCUUUAAAAUCUUACAUGAUUUGAGUUCAAACCGGUGUGAGCCAGGUUGGUUUCUAUCUAA
This 583-nucleotide ribosomal RNA is filed under the name Nematocarcinus rotundus. RNAcentral's name for it is "partial 16S ribosomal RNA". It matches the Rfam family "Bacterial large subunit ribosomal RNA", at positions 1797 to 2645 of the family's 2925-position model. The record is from RNAcentral. Lineage: Eukaryota; Metazoa; Arthropoda; Malacostraca; Decapoda; Nematocarcinidae.